UGGGGAAUAUUGCACAAUGGGCGCAAGCCUGAUGCAGCAACGCCGCGUGAGGGAUGACGGCCUUCGGGUUGUAAACCUCUUUUAGUAGGGAAGAAGCGAAAGUGACGGUACCUGCAGAAAAAGCACCGGCUAACUACGUGCCAGCAGCCGCGGUAAUACGUAGGGUGCGAGCGUUGUCCGGAAUUAUUGGGCGUAAAGAGCUCGUAGGCGGUCUGUCGCGUCUGCUGUGAAAACCCGAGGCUCAACCUCGGGCCUGCAGUGGGUACGGGCAGACUAGAGUGCGGUAGGGGAGAAUGGAAUUCCUGGUGUAGCGGUGGAAUGCGCAGAUAUCAGGAGGAACACCGAUGGCGAAGGCAGUUCUCUGGGCCGUAACUGACGCUGAGGAGCGAAAGCGUGGGGAGCGAACAGGAUUAGAUACCCUGGUAGUCCACGCCGUAAACGUUGGGCGCUAGAUGUGGGGACCAUUCCACGGUUUCCGUGUCGCAGCUAACGCAUUAAGCGCCCCGCCUGGGGAGUACGGCCGCAAGGCUAAAACUCAAAUGAAUU
This 546-nucleotide ribosomal RNA is filed under the name uncultured bacterium. Its description in RNAcentral is "partial 16S ribosomal RNA". It matches the Rfam family "Bacterial small subunit ribosomal RNA", at positions 355 to 911 of the family's 1533-position model. The record is from RNAcentral.